AAUAAGAUGCCUGAAACAAAAGGACUAUCUUGAUAGGAUAGAUAAUGUAAAUACUUACUCUUAUUA
This 66-nucleotide transfer RNA is filed under the name Antilochus russus. Its description in RNAcentral is "tRNA-Ile". The record is from RNAcentral. Lineage: Eukaryota; Metazoa; Arthropoda; Insecta; Hemiptera; Pyrrhocoridae.